RNAcentral lists this ribosomal RNA (337 nucleotides) under Nematoda environmental sample. RNAcentral describes it as "bacterial SSU rRNA". It matches the Rfam family "Eukaryotic small subunit ribosomal RNA", at positions 1300 to 1665 of the family's 1831-position model. The record is from RNAcentral. Lineage: Eukaryota; Metazoa; Nematoda.
CGUGGCGUGAGUCGUCUGCUUAAUUGCGAUAACGAGCGAGACUCCCUCUGCUAAAUACAAACUUAAUUAUCUUGUUAUGGUUGUUCUUAGCUGGAUUCGGGACUCCAAGUCCCAAGAAAUGGAGCAAUAACAGGUCUGUGAUGCCCUUAGAUGUUCGGGGCCGCACGCGUGCUACAAUGAUGGUAACAGCGUGAUUGUCCUCGCCCGAGAGGGCUUGGCAAACAGUUGAGAUAUUAUUAUGGCUGGAAUUGAGUGUUGAAAUUUUCUCUCAUGAACGAGGAAUUCCAAGUAAAUGCGCGUCAUCAACGUGCAUUGAAUACGUCCCUGCCCUUUGUAC